This 492-nucleotide ribosomal RNA is filed under the name uncultured bacterium. Its description in RNAcentral is "partial 16S ribosomal RNA". It matches the Rfam family "Bacterial small subunit ribosomal RNA", at positions 29 to 507 of the family's 1533-position model. The record is from RNAcentral.
AGUGAACGCUGGCGGUAGGCCUAACACAUGCAAGUCGAACGGCAGCACAGUAAGAGCUUGCUCUUACGGGUGGCGAGUGGCGGACGGGUGAGGAAUACAUCGGAAUCUACUUUUUCGUGGGGGGUAACGUAGGGAAACUUACGCUAAUACCGCAUACGACCUACGGGUGAAAGCAGGGGAUCUUCGGACCUUGCGCGAUUGAAUGAGCCGAUGUCGGAUUAGCUAGUUGGCGGGGUAAAGGCCCACCAAGGCGACGAUCCGUAGCUGGUCUGAGAGGAUGUUCAGCCACACUGGAACUGAGACACGGUCCAGACUCCUACGGGAGGCAGCAGUGGGGAAUAUUGGACAAUGGGCGCAAGCCUGAUCCAGCCAUACCGCGUGGGUGAAGAAGGCCUUCGGGUUGUAAAGCCCUUUUGUUGGGAAAGAAAAGCAGCAGGUUAAUACCCCGCUGUUCUGACGGUACCCAAAGAAUAAGCACCGGCUAACUUCGUG